Molecule: transfer RNA, 76 nt
Filed under: Gammaproteobacteria bacterium
Lineage: Bacteria; Pseudomonadati; Pseudomonadota; Gammaproteobacteria
Also listed under: 2 other names
Description: tRNA-Thr
Rfam family: tRNA
About the family: Transfer RNA (tRNA) molecules are approximately 80 nucleotides in length. Their secondary structure includes four short double-helical elements and three loops (D, anti-codon, and T loops).
Source: RNAcentral
GCCGGUGUAGCUCAGUUGGCAGAGCAACUGAUUCGUAAUCAGUAGGUCGGCAGUUCGAGUCUGCCCACCGGCACCA